CAGUCGCCACGGUAAAACGGAGGGUGCAAGCGUUAAUCGGAAUUACUGGGCGUAAAGCGUGCGUAGGCGGUUCGUUAAGUCUGUUGUGAAAGCCCCGGGCUCAACCUGGGAACGGCAAUGGAUACUGGCGAGCUAGAGUGUGUCAGAGGAUGGUGGAAUUCCCGGUGUAGCGGUGAAAUGCGUAGAGAUCGGGAGGAACAUCAGUGGCGAAGGCGGCCAUCUGGGACAACACUGACGCUGAGGCACGAAAGCGUGGGGAGCAAACAGGAUUAGAUACCCCCGUAGUCCCUGUCUCUUAUAC
Molecule: ribosomal RNA, 301 nt
Filed under: uncultured bacterium
Lineage: Bacteria
Description: partial 16S ribosomal RNA
Rfam family: Bacterial small subunit ribosomal RNA
Source: RNAcentral